This 787-nucleotide ribosomal RNA is filed under the name Acutuncus antarcticus. RNAcentral describes it as "SSU rRNA". It matches the Rfam family "Eukaryotic small subunit ribosomal RNA", at positions 91 to 922 of the family's 1831-position model. The record is from RNAcentral. Lineage: Eukaryota; Metazoa; Tardigrada; Eutardigrada; Parachela; Hypsibiidae.
GAUGGUCAUUAAAUCAGUUAUAGUUUAUUUGAUGGUUUUUGCUAYAUGGAUAACUGUGGUAAUUCUAGAGCUAAUACAUGCAUUCAAGCCCCGACUUCUGGAAGGGGUGUAUUUAUUAGAUAAAAAUCAACUUUGUUGGUGAAUCAUAAUAACUUCUCGGACCGCAUGGCCUCGUGCUGGCGGUGCUUCAUUCAAAUAUCUGCCCUAUCAACUGUCGAUGGUAGGAUAGAGGCCUACCAUGGUUGCAACGGGUAACGGGGAAUAAGGGUUCGAUUCCGGAGAGGGAGCCUGAGAAACGGCUACCACAUCCAAGGAAGGCAGCAGGCGCGCAAAUUACCCAAUCCCAACACGGGGAGGUAGUGACAAUAUGUAACAAUAUACGGCCUUAUACGUCGUAUAAUUGGAAUGAGUACAAUUUAAAUCCCUUAACGAGGAACAAUUGGAGGGCAAGUCUGGUGCCAGCAGCCGCGGUAAUUCCAGCUCCAAUAGCGUAUAUUAAAGUUGUUGCAGUUAAAAAGCUCGUAGUUGGACCUUGGACCUGGACAGGCGGUCCGCCUCACGGCGAGUACUGUCUUGCUGGGUCUUUCCUCUUGGUGAUCUGUUGUUUCGGCAGCAGGGAACCAGGACCUUUACUUUGAAAAAAUUAGAGUGUUCAAAGCAGGCUCGACGCCGGAAUAUAUUAGCAUGGAAUAAUAAAAUAGGACGUGCGGUUCUAUUUUGUUGGUUUUUGGAAUCGCCUAAUGAUUAAUAGGGACAGUCGGGGGCAUUAGUACUCACAUGCUAGAGG